UACGUAGGGUGCAAGCGUUGUCCGGAAUUAUUGGGCGUAAAGAGCUCGUAGGCGGUCUGUCACGUCGGCUGUGAAAACCCAGGGCUCAACCCUGGGCCUGCAGUCGAUACGGGCAGACUAGAGUCCGGCAGGGGAGACUGGAAUUCCUGGUGUAGCGGUGAAAUGCGCAGAUAUCAGGAGGAACACCGAUGGCGAAGGCGGGUCUCUGGGCCGGAACUGACGCUGAGACGCGAAAGCGUGGGGAGCGAACAGG
This 253-nucleotide ribosomal RNA is filed under the name uncultured bacterium. RNAcentral's name for it is "partial 16S ribosomal RNA". It matches the Rfam family "Bacterial small subunit ribosomal RNA", at positions 524 to 776 of the family's 1533-position model. The record is from RNAcentral.